Molecule: transfer RNA, 68 nt
Filed under: Arcovestia ivanovi
Lineage: Eukaryota; Metazoa; Annelida; Polychaeta; Sabellida; Siboglinidae
Also listed under: 1 other name
Description: tRNA-Ser
Source: RNAcentral
AAAAUAUGUCGGGGAUAAGAUAUAACUUCUAAUUAUACCUUGAGACGUUCAACUCAUCUCAUAUUUUU